Molecule: ribosomal RNA, 252 nt
Filed under: uncultured bacterium
Lineage: Bacteria
Description: partial 16S ribosomal RNA
Rfam family: Bacterial small subunit ribosomal RNA
Source: RNAcentral
UACGUAGGUCCCGAGCGUUGUCCGAAUUUAUUGGGCGUAAAGCGAGCGCAGGUGGUUUAUUAAGUCUGGUGUAAAAGGCAGUGGCUCAACCAUUGUAUGCAUUGGAAACUGGUAGACUUGAGUGCAGGAGGGGAGAGUGGAAUUCCAUGUGUAGCGGUGAAAUGCGUAGAUAUAUGGAGGAACACCGGUGGCGAAAGCGGCUCUCUGGCCUGUAACUGACACUGAGGCUCGAAAGCGUGGGGAGCAAACAGG